This 435-nucleotide ribosomal RNA is filed under the name uncultured bacterium. RNAcentral's name for it is "partial 16S ribosomal RNA". It matches the Rfam family "Bacterial small subunit ribosomal RNA", at positions 29 to 507 of the family's 1533-position model. The record is from RNAcentral.
AACGAACGCUGGCGGCAGGCUUAACACAUGCAAGUCGAACGCAUGCCUUCGGGCAUGAGUGGCAGACGGGUGAGUACCGCGUGGGAACCUACCCCUUGGUACGGGAUAGCUCCGGGAAACUGGAGAUAAUACCGUAUGUGUCCUGAGGGACAAAGAUUCAUCGCCAAGGGAUGGGCCCGCGUCGGAUUAGCUAGUUGGUGGGGUAACGGCCUACCAAGGCGACGAUCCGUAGCUGGUCUAAGAGGAUGAGCAGCCACAUUGGGACUGAGACACGGCCCAAACUCCUACGGGAUGCGGCAGUGGGGAAUAUUGGACAAUGGGGGCAAGCCUGAUCCAGCCAGGCCGCGUGAGUGAUGAAGGCCCUAGGGUUGUAAAGCUCUUUCACCGGUGACGAUAAUGACGGUAACCGGAGAAGAAGCCCCGGCUAACUUCGUG